Molecule: long non-coding RNA, 787 nt
Filed under: Ananas comosus (pineapple)
Lineage: Eukaryota; Viridiplantae; Streptophyta; Magnoliopsida; Poales; Bromeliaceae
Description: long non-coding RNA (ACOM_LNC002091)
Source: RNAcentral
GAUGUUACAUGUACCUACUAGUGGUAGGAGAUUCAAAUUUUGAAAUUGAAUCUAGGAUUUAGUGGGAUUACACAUUGGUAUAGUUGUGUGGUUUUUGGAAAUUGGAGAGCGGACGGGUUUCGUCGCGAAUCCGUGACCGAUCGAUGCGAACCAAAUCGUAGGUUUAUUGUCUCCGUUGUGCUGAUCGCACUAGUGCGAUCCGUUCGCAAAUCUGACCGACGGAUCUGCGGAUAUCGCACGUGGUUCGAGGAGGGGUCUUAGAUGGCAAAUUGGUAUUUUUGCGAAAGGUACGACAUUUUAUGUACCGUUUCACGUGAGAUCGCACAUGGGGGUAUAUGCGCGCGUUUUACUCAUGCUGUGGAGGACCCAGUUUGAAAUUCUGAUUUUUGGUGGACUUAUUUGCAAUUCUGCACCAAGUAUUUAUGGUUGCAUUAGGGUUUUCCACUUGAAGCCCUAACCUAGCCCUAGCCGCACCCCCAGCCACCUUCACCCUGCUCCCCUGCCCUAGUCGCGUGCCUUCCGGUCGCCGCUGACCAAGUCCGGCCGGUCGGCCGCCGCCGCAUCACCUUUUUCUCCUCUCUCUCUCUCUCUCUCUCUCUCUUCUCUCGGGUUGAGAGGAGGCCCGAGACUGGGUUGCCUCCAGGCUCUGCCCCAGCGUCGCCCUGACCCCAUCGGAGCUUCCCCCGGUCGGUCGCUGCCGCCUGCCACCGUCGCCUACGCCGCCGCUGCUGGUUCUGCAGCCUGCGGCCACCCCAGCCCGAGCCCGGGCUGAGGCAGGUAUGCGACC